CGGACGGGUGAGUAAUGUCUGGGAAACUGCCCGAUGGAGGGGGAUAACUACUGGAAACGGUAGCUAAUACCGCAUAACGUCGCAAGACCAAAGGAGGGGACCUUAGGGCCUCUUGCCAUCGGAUGUGCCCAGAUGGGAUUAGCUAGUAGGUGGGGUAACGGCUCACCUAGGCGACGAUCCCUAGCUGGUCUGAGAGGAUGACCAGCCACACUGGAACUGAGACACGGUCCAG
This 232-nucleotide ribosomal RNA is filed under the name uncultured bacterium. Its description in RNAcentral is "partial 16S ribosomal RNA". It matches the Rfam family "Bacterial small subunit ribosomal RNA", at positions 99 to 334 of the family's 1533-position model. The record is from RNAcentral.